CGUAAAGACGCAUGCAGGUGGUUUGUUAAGUUCAGAUGUGAAAGACCCGGGGCGUCAACCUCGGAAUUGCAUUUGUAAACUAGGCAAACUAGAGUACUGUAGAGGGGGUAGGAAUUUCAGGUGUAGCGGUGAAAUAGCGUAGAGAUCUGAAGGAAUACCGGUGGCGAAGGCGGCCCCUCGGACAGAUACUGACACUCAGAUGCGAAAGCGUGGGGAGCAAACAGGAUUAGAUACCCUGGUAG
Molecule: ribosomal RNA, 242 nt
Filed under: uncultured bacterium
Lineage: Bacteria
Description: partial 16S ribosomal RNA
Rfam family: Bacterial small subunit ribosomal RNA
Source: RNAcentral